RNAcentral lists this ribosomal RNA (399 nucleotides) under uncultured bacterium. RNAcentral's name for it is "bacterial SSU rRNA". It matches the Rfam family "Bacterial small subunit ribosomal RNA", at positions 30 to 430 of the family's 1533-position model. The record is from RNAcentral.
AUUGAACGCUGGCGGCGUGCCUAACACAUGCAAGUCGAGCGGUAACAGGUGUAGCAAUACAUGCUGACGAGCGGCGAACGGGUGAGUAAUGCUUUGGAAUCUUCCCAGUAGUGGGGAAUAACCAGUCGAAAGAUUGGCUAAUACCGCAUACGUCUGUAAAGGGAAAGCGGGGGAUCGCAAGACCUCGCGCUAUUGGAUGAGCCAAAGUCGGAUUAGCUAGUGGUGGGUAAUGGCCUACCAAGGCGACAAUCCGUAGCUGGUCUGAGAGGACGACCAGCCACGCCGGAACUGAGACACGGUCCGGACUCCUACGGGAGGCAGCAGUGGGAAUAUUGGACAAUGGGGGAAACCCUGAUCCAGCGACGCCGCGUGUGUGAAGAAGGCCUGCGGGUUAGUAAA